GAGCCCUCCUCGCCGAGGGAGGCGGGGUGGGAGGCUCCCGAGAAUAGUUGGGAGCUCUCGCUUUCCCCUGACCAGCCCCCGGGCUGCUGAGAAGUUUGGCUCUAACUGGGAAGUGCCGGACCUGAUUUAAAGAGACAGGCUCUCAAGAAGGGAGCUUUCCUGGCCUUGGUUUGAAUUAUUCAGGUUGGAGACGCUGACAUUUGAUCCUCAGGCCGUUCCAGUAUCUGCAGAAUGGAACCCCAGGGCCACAUGCAUGCUAGAUCAUUAGCUUGGACAAUUCAAUGCAAGAUGAUAUGUAAUGAUGGUGAUGUGUAACAGGAUUAAGUUCAACUGAAAACUUUGCUGUGAAAUGCACAAAGAAAUACAUGGGCACAAAUCUUCAGAAAUAGAGAAAGAUAAGCAGAAAGUUACAGAUAUAAGGACUGAAAAAGACCGCAGUUACAGACCUGUGGAUGCAGAUACUCUUGUCUCAGAAGGAUGCUGAUACAACCUUUCUCCCCAAAGAGAGACUGGACAACCAACUAUCUUAUUCCAAAGGAUAACUUUCAUGUGAACACUGGUUUCACACCCAGGUGGAGCCAGAAAUGACAGUGAUGGGAGGGGGAGGUCAAGAAUCAGUAGCCAAUCAGAGAAGGAGGCAGUAUGACUUUCAAUGGCCCUUUCAUCUGGAGUGACAUUGCAUCAGUGUACGGUAGCCUGCACCAGGCUCUGUGGCUGAAGGCGACCAAAGUAUGG
Heterocephalus glaber (naked mole-rat) is the source of this 735-nucleotide long non-coding RNA. NCBI's taxonomy places the organism in Eukaryota, Metazoa, Chordata, Mammalia, Rodentia, Bathyergidae. The record is from Ensembl.